UUCUCCCACUCAAAUUAAGAAAAGGUCUCUCUAAAUUCUAUUAAGAUUUUGAGUCAUAAUUCUAAUAUAUUCCUAUACUCAACACAAUUUACUUUUCUUUUUCUUUCUUUUUCUGAGUAAGGGACUAAGAGAGUGGGUACUUGAACUUGGGUCUACCACGUGAGUUUUAUGCUUCAGACACUAGACUGAGCCAGGCUAAGCAACCCAAUUUAAUUAGAAUAAAUUAUUUUGAAAAUUUUCCUUAAUUUACAUGGUUUAAUGUUAUUUUUCUAAAAAGGUAAAG
This 283-nucleotide unclassified non-coding RNA is filed under the name Hevea brasiliensis (rubber tree). The record is from RNAcentral. Lineage: Eukaryota; Viridiplantae; Streptophyta; Magnoliopsida; Malpighiales; Euphorbiaceae.